RNAcentral lists this ribosomal RNA (495 nucleotides) under uncultured bacterium. RNAcentral's name for it is "partial 16S ribosomal RNA". It matches the Rfam family "Bacterial small subunit ribosomal RNA", at positions 28 to 507 of the family's 1533-position model. The record is from RNAcentral.
GACGAACGCUGGCGGCGUGCCUAAUACAUGCAAGUAGAACGCUGAAGGAGGAGCUUGCUUCUCUGGAUGAGUUGCGAACGGGUGAGUAACGCGUAGGUAACCUGCCUGGUAGCGGGGGAUAACUAUUGGAAACGAUAGCUAAUACCGCAUAAGAGUAGAUGUCGCAUGACAUUUGCUUAAAAGGUGCAAUUGCAUCACUACCAGAUGGACCUGCGUUGUAUUAGCUAGUUGGUGAGGUAACGGCUCACCAAGGCAACGAUACGUAGCCGACCUGAGAGGGUGAUCGGCCACACUGGGACUGAGACACGGCCCAGACUCCUACGGGAGGCAGCAGUAGGGAAUCUUCGGCAAUGGACGGAAGUCUGACCGAGCAACGCCGCGUGAGUGAAGAAGGUUUUCGGAUCGUAAAGCUCUGUUGUAAGAGAAGAACGAGUGUGAGAGUGGAAAGUUCACACUGUGACGGUAUCUUACCAGAAAGGGACGGCUAACUACGUG